RNAcentral lists this long non-coding RNA (1835 nucleotides) under Cucumis sativus (cucumber). Its description in RNAcentral is "long non-coding RNA (CSAT_LNC000720)". Lineage: Eukaryota; Viridiplantae; Streptophyta; Magnoliopsida; Cucurbitales; Cucurbitaceae. The record is from RNAcentral.
CUUUCUUCUUCUUGCUUCUCCCUUUUUUUUUUUCUUUCUUUCUUGGUUGUGGUACUAGGGAGAAGAUGAAGAUGAAUCAUCUAGCUUGCGACACCUUAGAGCUGAUGAAAAUGAAUUCCAUCGGCCGGGUUGCGACACCUGUUAGAUGAUAAAGAUGAAUACUCUCAGCUACGACAUAUAGGAGAAGAUGAAGAUGAAUCCUCUCGGCUAUGACAUAUGGGAGGAGAUGAAGAUGAAUUCUCUUCAGUUGCAGCACUUGGAAGAAGAUGAAGAUGAAUCCUCUCAGCUAUGACAUAUGAGAGAAGAUGAAGAUGAAUCCUCUCGGCUAUGACAUAUGAAAGGAGAUGAAUCCUCUCGACUAUGACAUAUGGGAGGAGAUGAAGAUGAAUCCUAUUCAAUUGCAGCACCUGGGAGAAGAUGAAGAUAAAUCCUCUCGGCUAUGACAUAUGGGAGAAGAUGAAGAUGAAUCCUCUCGGCUAUGACAUAUGAGAGAAGAUGAAUCAUUUUCGAUUGCAGCACCUGGGAGAAGAUGAAGAUGAAUCUUCUCAGCUAUGACAUAUAAGAGAAGAUGAAGAUGAAUCCUCUUUGAUUGUAGCACCUAGAAGAAGAUGAAGGUGAAUCCUUCCGGCUACGACAUAUGAAAGAAGAUGAAGAUGAAUUCUCUUUGGUUGCAACUCCUAAAAGAAGAUGAAGAUGAAUCUUCUUUGGUUGCGACACCUGAAAGAAGAUGAAGGUGAAUCUUCUCGGUUGCGACUCUUAGGAGAAGAUGAAGAUGAAUCUUCUCAGUUGCAAUUCCAAUGAGAAGAUGAAGAUGAAUCCUCUCGGUUGUAGCACCUAGAAGAAGAUGAAGGUGAAUCCUUCCGGCUACGUCAUAUGAAAGAAGAUGAAGAUGAAUCCUCUUUGGUUGCAGCACCUGGAAGAAGAUAAAGAUGAAUCUUCUUUGGUUGCGACACCUGAAAGAAGAUGAAGGUGAAUCUUCUCAGUUGCAAUUCUUAGGAGAAGAUGAAGAUGAAUCCUCUCGGUUGCAACACAUAGGAGAAGACAAAGAUGAAUCCUCUCACUUGCGACACCUUAGAGCAGAUGAAGAUGAAUCAUCUUCGGUUGUUACACCUGAGAGAAGAUGAAAAUGAAUCUUCUUGAUUGCGACUCCUAGGUGAAGAUGAAGAUGAAUCAUCUCGGUUGUAACACAUGGAGGAAGACAAAGAUGAAUCCUCUCACUUGCGACACCUUAGAGCAGAUGAAGAUGAAUCAUCUUCGAUUGCAAAACUUAGAAGAAGAUGAAGAUGAAUCCUCUUCGGUUGCAAUAAGCUGAAGAUGAAGCAGAGGUUAAAGCUUUAGCAUUGCAUGCAUCUUCUUCAAGAGGCAGAAACGAUGUUACACUGUCGUUUUCAUCUUGGAGAGGCGAAGGCAGAGCUGCCCGAUCGUCGUCCUAUCAAAGUUGUACCAUCGUUAUCCUCUCAAAGAGCUGGAGCUGCAGCAUCGAUGAAGCCUUCAAACUUGAAUAUAAGGAAUCAUCAAUGAAACUUUUAUGCUUGAAUUUGAGGGAUCAUUAAUGAUGCCUUUGAGCUUGAUUUUGAGAUUCUUUUUUUUUUUCUUUUUACAUGCACUCAACUUGUACAUAGUCUUUGCACGGAGUUUGUACAUCUUCAAUUUAUUUCAUCUCAUUGUUACUAAAGAUGAACAUCUUGAAUUUAGGGAUUUGCCCCCAAUUUGUUAUGAUUCCUUAGUAGAGAUGAACACCCUUUGAAGAAAAGAAUUAACUCACGACGUAGUUCAAGGUUUUUUUUUUUUUUUUUAUAAUGGUGGACUGAACUUAAAGUUUUCUUUAAGUUGCC